UGGGGAAUUUUGGACAAUGGGCGAAAGCCUGAUCCAGCAAUGCCGCGUGUGUGAAGAAGGCCUUCGGGUUGUAAAGCACUUUUGUCCGGAAAGAAAUCCUUGGCUCUAAUACAGUCGGGGGAUGACGGUACCGGAAGAAUAAGCACCGGCUAACUACGUGCCAGCAGCCGCGGUAAUACGUAGGGUGCAAGCGUUAAUCGGAAUUACUGGGCGUAAAGCGUGCGCAGGCGGUUUGCUAAGACCGAUGUGAAAUCCCCGGGCUCAACCUGGGAACUGCAUUGGUGACUGGCAGGCUAGAGUAUGGCAGAGGGGGGUAGAAUUCCACGUGUAGCAGUGAAAUGCGUAGAGAUGUGGAGGAAUACCGAUGGCGAAGGCAGCCCCUGGGCCAAUACUGACGCUCAUGCACGAAAGCGUGGGGAGCAAACAGGAUUAGAUACCCUGGUAGUCCACGCCCUAAAACGAUGUCAACUAGUUGUUGGGGAUUCAUUUCCUUAGUAACGUAGCUAACGCGUGAAGUUGACCGCCUGGGGAGUACGGUCGCAAGAUUAAAACUCAAAUGAAUUG
This 564-nucleotide ribosomal RNA is filed under the name uncultured bacterium. RNAcentral's name for it is "partial 16S ribosomal RNA". It matches the Rfam family "Bacterial small subunit ribosomal RNA", at positions 355 to 912 of the family's 1533-position model. The record is from RNAcentral.